CGGGACGUGGCGCAGUUUGGCAGCGCGCAGCGUUCGGGACGCUGAGGUCGCGGGUUCAAAUCCCGCCUUCCCGA
Molecule: transfer RNA, 74 nt
Filed under: Actinomycetota bacterium
Lineage: Bacteria; Bacillati; Actinomycetota
Description: tRNA-Pro
Rfam family: tRNA
About the family: Transfer RNA (tRNA) molecules are approximately 80 nucleotides in length.
Source: RNAcentral